This 465-nucleotide ribosomal RNA is filed under the name Vreelandella stevensii. RNAcentral describes it as "partial 16S ribosomal RNA". It matches the Rfam family "Bacterial small subunit ribosomal RNA", at positions 338 to 795 of the family's 1533-position model. The record is from RNAcentral. Lineage: Bacteria; Pseudomonadati; Pseudomonadota; Gammaproteobacteria; Oceanospirillales; Halomonadaceae.
CCUACGGGGGGCAGCAGUGGGGAAUAUUGGACAAUGGGGGGAACCCUGAUCCAGCCAUGCCGCGUGUGUGAAGAAGGCCCUCGGGUUGUAAAGCACUUUCAGUGAGGAAGAACGCCUGGUGGUUAAUACCCAUCAGGAAAGACAUCACUCACAGAAGAAGCACCGGCUAACUCCGUGCCGGCAGCCGCGGUAAUACGGAGGGUGCGAGCGUUAAUCGGAAUUACUGGGCGUAAAGCGCGCGUAGGUGGCUUGAUAAGCCGGUUGUGAAAGCCCCGGGCUCAACCUGGGAACGGCAUCCGGAACUGUCAAGCUAGAGUGCAGGAGAGGAAGGUAGAAUUCCCGGUGUAGCGGUGAAAUGCGUAGAGAUCGGGAGGAAUACCAGUGGCGAAGGCGGCCUUCUGGACUGACACUGACACUGAGGUGCGAAAGCGUGGGUAGCAAACAGGAUUAGAUACCCUGGUAGUC